AGAAGGGAAGAGCAUAUGGGAAGUAGGUAGGUGUGAGGAGUAAGACAUAUAGUGAAGACAAGACAGUUCUGCCUGAAGCAAAGGGACAUCUCUGAAAGCAGAGAUGAGAGAGGACAGAGAGAAGAAUACGGCCAUCUAAAGGAGAAUGUGGAGAGGCAAAAUGGUGGUGGGAAAAAUUAAGUCCAGAAAUCAAUGAACAAGAUUUUCAAAUGAUGACUACUAAUUGUGGGUCUUCCCCUUGCAAGUAAACCUUGCCAACACUUCUGAACACUGUGGACGCCACUGCAUUCUUAAAUCCUUCACAGAGACCCGAAAAGAGCUCAGUCAGACAAAAAAUUCAAAGAUGAAGGAACACCGCAGAGAGUUCUUAAAAUGAAGCUGCCUUGUACCUUCCGUACUUGCUCUUCAGUUAUGGUCCCUGUACCAAAGCUUGUUUCUGUUCUUUCUUAUCCCACACCUCCACAACACCUCCUCAGAGCCCCACCUUGCAUCCAGUCCUGUGGAGAGGCCCAUGUGAGUGAGCUGGGAAGUGAAUCCUCUCUCAUUCAAGCCUUGAGAUGACUGCAGCCCCAGCCAACACCUUGACUCCAGCCUGUGACCGACCCCGAGCAAGAACCACCACCUACAUCACUCCCAGAUUCUGAAUCCACAGGAACUGUGAGAUGGGUGUCUAUGGUUUUCAGCCACUAAGUUUUGGGGUAAUU
This 704-nucleotide long non-coding RNA is filed under the name Equus asinus (donkey). RNAcentral describes it as "lncRNA (ENSEASG00005032077.1)". Lineage: Eukaryota; Metazoa; Chordata; Mammalia; Perissodactyla; Equidae. The record is from RNAcentral.